Molecule: long non-coding RNA, 246 nt
Filed under: Mytilus galloprovincialis (Mediterranean mussel)
Lineage: Eukaryota; Metazoa; Mollusca; Bivalvia; Mytilida; Mytilidae
Source: RNAcentral
UAAAAAUAUAUUUUGUAAGAUUGUUACUAUGAAAAUCAAAUAACUUUGAAUGCUCGCGUUUUAAGUUAUUCUCUUACCUUAAAGCAGCCUCUAGAAUUAAACAAUUGUUCCUUUAGGUAUAGCUGAUACAUGCUGUAAUUUGUUUUUGUUUAUAUUGUUUUGAAAAAAAUGGCGACCAAAUAAUUUUCAAACGUAGACGAUGUUCGACACUUAUUUUGUCCAUGCAAAUAAUUCAAUUUAAUUUCA